Molecule: ribosomal RNA, 2237 nt
Filed under: Salmonella enterica
Lineage: Bacteria; Pseudomonadati; Pseudomonadota; Gammaproteobacteria; Enterobacterales; Enterobacteriaceae
Also listed under: 1 other name
Description: partial 23S ribosomal RNA
Rfam family: Bacterial large subunit ribosomal RNA
Source: RNAcentral
CGUUCAACCUCAAAAGAAGCAGAGGGGGCUUAGUGGUGGGGUGACUGCGUACCUUUUGUAUAAUGGGUCAGCGACUUAUAUUCUGUAGCAAGGUUAACUGUAUAGGGGAGCCGGAGGGAAACCGAGUCUUAACCGGGCGUUAAGUUGCAGGGUAUAGACCCGAAACCCGGUGAUCUAGCCAUGGGCAGGUUGAAGGUUGGGUAACACUAACUGGAGGACCGAACCGACUAAUGUUGAAAAAUUAGCGGAUGACCUGUGGCUGGGGGUGAAAGGCCAAUCAAACCGGGAGAUAGCUGGUUCUCCCCGAAAGCUAUUUAGGUAGCGCCUCGUGAAUUCAUCUCCGGGGGUAGAGCACUGUUUCGGCUAGGGGGCCAUCCCGGCUUACCAACCCGAUGCAAACUGCGAAUACCGGAGAAUGUUAUCACGGGAGACACACGGCGGGUGCUAAUGUCCGUCGUGAAGAGGGAAACAACCCAGACCGCCAGCUAAGGUCCCAAAGUCAUGGUUAAGUGGGAAACGAUGUGGGAAGGCCCAGACAGCCAGGAUGUUGGCUUAGAAGCAGCCAUCAUUUAAAGAAAGCGUAAUAGCUCACUGGUCGAGUCGGCCUGCGCGGAAGAUGUAACGGGGCUAAACCAUGCACCGAAGCUGCGGCAGCGACACCGUGUGUUGUUGGGUAGGGGAGCGUUCUGUAAGCCUGUGAAGGUGUGCUGUGAGGCAUGCUGGAGGUAUCAGAAGUGCGAAUGCUGACAUAAGUAACGAUAAAGCGGGUGAAAAGCCCGCUCGCCGGAAGACCAAGGGUUCCUGUCCAACGUUAAUCGGGGCAGGGUGAGUCGACCCCUAAGGCGAGGCCGAAAGGCGUAGUCGAUGGGAAACGGGUUAAUAUUCCCGUACUUGGUGUUACUGCGAAGGGGGGACGGAGAAGGCUAUGUUGGCCGGGCGACGGUUGUCCCGGUUUAAGCGUGUAGGUAUGUGUUCCAGGUAAAUCCGGUUCACUUUAACACUGAGGCGUGACGACGAGGCACUACGGUGCUGAAGCAACAAAUGCCCUGCUUCCAGGAAAAGCCUCUAAGCAUCAGGUAACAUCAAAUCGUACCCCAAACCGACACAGGUGGUCAGGUAGAGAAUACCAAGGCGCUUGAGAGAACUCGGGUGAAGGAACUAGGCAAAAUGGUGCCGUAACUUCGGGAGAAGGCACGCUGACACGUAGGUGAAGUGAUUUACUCACGGAGCUGAAGUCAGCCGAAGAUACCAGCUGGCUGCAACUGUUUAUUAAAAACACAGCACUGUGCAAACACGAAAGUGGACGUAUACGGUGUGACGCCUGCCCGGUGCCGGAAGGUUAAUUGAUGGGGUCAGCGCAAGCGAAGCUCCUGAUCGAAGCCCCGGUAAACGGCGGCCGUAACUAUAACGGUCCUAAGGUAGCGAAAUUCCUUGUCGGGUAAGUUCCGACCUGCACGAAUGGCGUAAUGAUGGCCAGGCUGUCUCCACCCGAGACUCAGUGAAAUUGAACUCGCUGUGAAGAUGCAGUGUACCCGCGGCAAGACGGAAAGACCCCGUGAACCUUUACUAUAGCUUGACACUGAACAUUGAGCCUUGAUGUGUAGGAUAGGUGGGAGGCUUUGAAGUGUGGACGCCAGUCUGCAUGGAGCCGACCUUGAAAUACCACCCUUUAAUGUUUGAUGUUCUAACGUGGACCCGUGAUCCGGGUUGCGGACAGUGUCUGGUGGGUAGUUUGACUGGGGCGGUCUCCUCCUAAAGAGUAACGGAGGAGCACGAAGGUUGGCUAAUCCUGGUCGGACAUCAGGAGGUUAGUGCAAUGGCAUAAGCCAGCUUGACUGCGAGCGUGACGGCGCGAGCAGGUGCGAAAGCAGGUCAUAGUGAUCCGGUGGUUCUGAAUGGAAGGGCCAUCGCUCAACGGAUAAAAGGUACUCCGGGGAUAACAGGCUGAUACCGCCCAAGAGUUCAUAUCGACGGCGGUGUUUGGCACCUCGAUGUCGGCUCAUCACAUCCUGGGGCUGAAGUAGGUCCCAAGGGUAUGGCUGUUCGCCAUUUAAAGUGGUACGCGAGCUGGGUUUAGAACGUCGUGAGACAGUUCGGUCCCUAUCUGCCGUGGGCGCUGGAGAACUGAGGGGGGCUGCUCCUAGUACGAGAGGACCGGAGUGGACGCAUCACUGGUGUUCGGGUUGUCAUGCCAAUGGCACUGCCCGGUAGCUAAAUGCGGAAGAGAUAAGUGCUGA